GCAAGUCGAGGGGUAACAUUGUGCUUGCACAGAUGACGACCGGCGCACGGGUGCGUAACGCGUAUAGAACCUACCUUUUACUGGAGAAUAGCCUUUAGAAAUGAAGAUUAAUGCUCCAUGGUAUUGAGAAUUCGCAUGAGUUCUUAAUUAAAGAUUUAUUGGUAAAAGAUGGCUAUGCGUCCUAUUAGUUAGAUGGUAAGGUAACGGCUUACCAUGACUGUGAUAGGUAGGGGUCCUGAGAGGGAGAUC
This 249-nucleotide ribosomal RNA is filed under the name uncultured bacterium. Its description in RNAcentral is "partial 16S ribosomal RNA". It matches the Rfam family "Bacterial small subunit ribosomal RNA", at positions 57 to 305 of the family's 1533-position model. The record is from RNAcentral.